RNAcentral lists this ribosomal RNA (468 nucleotides) under uncultured bacterium. RNAcentral describes it as "partial 16S ribosomal RNA". It matches the Rfam family "Bacterial small subunit ribosomal RNA", at positions 28 to 507 of the family's 1533-position model. The record is from RNAcentral.
GACGAACGCUGGCGGCGUGCUUAACACAUGCAAGUCGAACGGAAAGGCCCUGCUUUUGUGGGGUGCUCGAGUGGCGAACGGGUGAGUAACACGUGAGUAACCUGCCCUUGACUUUGGGAUAACUUCAGGAAACUGGGGCUAAUACCGGAUAUGAGCUCCUGCUGCAUGGUGGGGGUUGGAAAGUUUCGGCGGUUGGGGAUGGACUCGCGGCUUAUCAGCUUGUUGGUGGGGUAGUGGCUUACCAAGGCUUUGACGGGUAGCCGGCCUGAAAGGGUGACCGGCCACAUUGGGACUGGGAUACGGCCCAGACUCCUACGGGAGGCAGCAGUGGGGAAUAUUGCACAAUGGGCGGAAGCCUGAUGCAGCAACGCCGCGUGCGGGAUAACGGCCUUCGGGUUGUAAACCGCUUUCGACUGUGACGAAGCGUGAGUGACGGUAAUGGGUAAAGAAGCACCGGCUAACUACGUG